AUACGUAGGGAGCGAGCGUUGUCCGGAAUCACUGGGUGUAAAGGGAGCGUAGGCGGGAGUGCAAGUCAGAUGUGAAAUACAUGGGCUCAACCCAUGGGCUGCAUUUGAAACUGCAUUUCUUGAGUGAAGUAGAGGUACGCGGAAUUCCUGGUGUAGCGGUGAAAUGCGUAGAUAUCAGGAGGAACACCGGUGGCGAAGGCGGCUUACUGGGCUUUUACUGACGCUGAGGCUCGAAAGCGUGGGGAGCAAACAGGAUUAGAUACCCCGGUAGUCCACGCUGUAAACGAUGAUUACUAGGUGUGGGGGGACUGACCCCUUCCGUGCCGCAGUUAACACAAUAAGUAAUCCACCUGGGGAGUACGGCCGCAAGGUUGAAACUCAAAUGAAUUGGCGGGG
Molecule: ribosomal RNA, 396 nt
Filed under: uncultured bacterium
Lineage: Bacteria
Description: partial 16S ribosomal RNA
Rfam family: Bacterial small subunit ribosomal RNA
Source: RNAcentral